Small nucleolar RNA from Peromyscus maniculatus bairdii (prairie deer mouse), 135 nucleotides. Its record names the gene SNORA70. It matches the Rfam family "Small nucleolar RNA SNORA70". From Rfam's summary of the family: snoRNA U70 seems to be exclusive to mammals and is a member of the H/ACA class of snoRNA which contain H (ANANNA) and ACA box motifs. Lineage: Eukaryota; Metazoa; Chordata; Mammalia; Rodentia; Cricetidae. The record is from Ensembl.
UUGCAGCCAAUUAAGCUGACCAAGUUCCUUUCCCCAUGAGGGCCUGGUGUACAGUGAUUGCAAACUGCAGGCUUCUUGACAGUGUGUGCAGCCUGCUGCCUGUAUGGAUUGUCCUAAGGGACCUUGAAGAUAACC